RNAcentral lists this ribosomal RNA (253 nucleotides) under uncultured Oscillospira sp. RNAcentral's name for it is "partial 16S ribosomal RNA". It matches the Rfam family "Bacterial small subunit ribosomal RNA", at positions 524 to 776 of the family's 1533-position model. Lineage: Bacteria; Bacillati; Bacillota; Clostridia; Eubacteriales; Oscillospiraceae. The record is from RNAcentral.
UACGUAGGUGGCAAGCGUUGUCCGGAUUUACUGGGUGUAAAGGGCGUGCAGCCGGAGAGACAAGUCAGAUGUGAAAUCCACAGGCUCAACCUGUGAACUGCAUUUGAAACUGUUUCCCUUGAGUAUCGGAGAGGUCAUCGGAAUUCCUAGUGUAGCGGUGAAAUGCGUAGAUAUAUGGAAGAACACCAGUGGCGAAAGCGGCUCUCUGGUCUGUAACUGACGCUGAGGUUCGAAAGCGUGGGUAGCAAACAGG